RNAcentral lists this ribosomal RNA (506 nucleotides) under uncultured bacterium. Its description in RNAcentral is "partial 16S ribosomal RNA". It matches the Rfam family "Bacterial small subunit ribosomal RNA", at positions 29 to 523 of the family's 1533-position model. The record is from RNAcentral.
AUUGAACGCUGGCGGCAGGCCUAACACAUGCAAGUCGAACGGCAGCACAGAAGAGCUUGCUCUUUGGGUGGCGAGUGGCGGACGGGUGAGUAAUGUCUGGGAAACUGCCCGAUGGAGGGGGAUAACUACUGGAAACGGUAGCUAAUACCGCAUAACGUCGCAAGACCAAAGUGGGGGACCUUCGGGCCUCACACCAUCGGAUGUGCCCAGAUGGGAUUAGCUAGUAGGUGGGGUAAUGGCUCACCUAGGCGACGAUCCCUAGCUGGUCUGAGAGGAUGACCAGCCACACUGGAACGGAGACACGGUCCAGACUCCUACGGGAGGCAGCAGUGGGGAAUAUUGCACAAUGGGCGCAAGCCUGAGGCAGCCAUGCCGCGUGUAUGAAGAAGGCCUUCGGGUUGUAAAGUACUUUCAGCGGGGAGGAAGGCGGUGAGGUUAAUAACCUCGCCGAUUGACGUUACCCGCAGAAGAAGCACCGGCUAACUCCGUGCCAGCAGCCGCCGUAA